GAUGAACGCUGGCGGCGUGCUUAACACAUGCAAGUCGAACGAUGAAGCCCAGCUUGCUGGGUGGAUUAGUGGCGAACGGGUGAGUAACACGUGAGUAACCUGCCCUUAACUCUGGGAUAAGCCUGGGAAACUGGGUCUAAUACCGGAUAGGAGCGUCCACCGCAUGGUGGGUGUUGGAAAGAUUUAUCGGUUUUGGAUGGACUCGCGGCCUAUCAGCUUGUUGGUGAGGUAAUGGCUCACCAAGGCGACGACGGGUAGCCGGCCUGAGAGGGUGACCGGCCACACUGGGACUGAGACACGGCCCAGACUCCUACGGGAGCCAGCAGUGGGGAAUAUUGCACAAUGGGCGCAAGCCUGAUGCAGCGACGCCGCGUGAGGGAUGACGGCCUUCGGGUUGUAAACCUCUUUCAGUAGGGAAGAAGCGAAAGUGACGGUACCUGCAGAAGAAGCACCGGCUAACUACGUG
Molecule: ribosomal RNA, 466 nt
Filed under: uncultured bacterium
Lineage: Bacteria
Description: partial 16S ribosomal RNA
Rfam family: Bacterial small subunit ribosomal RNA
Source: RNAcentral